UUCGCAAUGCCCGAAAGGGUGACGAAGCGACGCCGCGUGUGGGAAGAAGGCCUUCGGGUUGUAAACCACUGUCGGGAGUUAAGAAAUACAAGGAUAUUAAUAGUGUCUUUGUUUGACUAAGGCUCCGGAGGAAGCCACGGCUAACUCUGUGCCAGCAGCCGCGGUAAUACAGAGGCGGCAAGCGUUGUUCGGAAUUAUUGGGCGUAAAGAGCACGUAGGCGGCUAUGUAAGUCGGUUGUGAAAGCCUUCCGCUCAACGGAAGAACAGCAUCCGAUACUACAUGGCUUGAGUGCGGGAGGGGAGAGUGGAACUUCUGGUGGAGCGGUGAAAUGCGUAGAUAUCAGAAGGAACGCCGGCGGCGAAAGCGGCUCUCUGGCCCAUAACUGACGCUGAGUGUGCGAAAGCUAGGGGAGCAAACGGGAUUAGAUACCCCGGUAGUCCUAGCCGUAAACGAUGGGCACUAAGUAGAGGGGUUUU
This 477-nucleotide ribosomal RNA is filed under the name uncultured bacterium. RNAcentral describes it as "bacterial SSU rRNA". It matches the Rfam family "Bacterial small subunit ribosomal RNA", at positions 365 to 832 of the family's 1533-position model. The record is from RNAcentral. RNAcentral also lists the same sequence under 2 other names.